This 69-nucleotide transfer RNA is filed under the name Helostoma temminkii (kissing gourami). RNAcentral's name for it is "tRNA-Met". It matches the Rfam family "tRNA". From Rfam's summary of the family: Transfer RNA (tRNA) molecules are approximately 80 nucleotides in length. Their secondary structure includes four short double-helical elements and three loops (D, anti-codon, and T loops). The record is from RNAcentral. Lineage: Eukaryota; Metazoa; Chordata; Actinopteri; Anabantiformes; Helostomatidae.
AGUAAGGUCAGCUAAUUAAGCUGUCGGGCCCAUACCCCUAAAAUGUAGGUUAAAAUCCUACCCUUACUA